AUUCAAAAAUUAAUAUAUUAUAACAUAAGAUUACUAAAGAUUUUUUUUUUCUCUGAUUUGAGCGAAAAUAUUGACCAACCGUAUGCUGCAACGUCACAUGAUACUGAGUAUCAAAGAUAUCAGUCCACUGAUACAAAUCAGACCCAAAUUUAUAAUUUGAUAUAAUUUUUGGUCUACUGAUAUCCAAAAUAAAUCACCCAUUGGUCCAUUUGGUGUUCUAGUGGCGGGCCCAAAUGAAGCCAAUAACAACACCUACAAGGCCACUACAGGCCCAACUCAACAAUUAUAGGCCCAUCUUU
This 299-nucleotide small RNA is filed under the name Arabidopsis thaliana (thale cress). Its description in RNAcentral is "ATSL079440". The record is from RNAcentral. Lineage: Eukaryota; Viridiplantae; Streptophyta; Magnoliopsida; Brassicales; Brassicaceae.